ACCGGCGGCUCGAGUGGUGGCCACUAUUACUGGGCUUAAAGCGUUCGUAGCUGGCUUGUUAAGUCUCUGGGGAAAUCUUCCGGCUCAACCGGAAGGCGUCUCAGGGAUACUGGCAGGCUAGGGACCGGAAGAGGUGAGAGGUACUCCAGGGAGAGGACUGACCAGGGGGGAUCCGAGAGGGAGCACCUGAGGCGAAGGCACCAAACCGGGAAAGCUCCGCUAGUGAGGCGCGAGAGCUAGGAAAGCAAGGAG
Molecule: ribosomal RNA, 252 nt
Filed under: uncultured prokaryote
Description: partial 16S rRNA
Rfam family: Archaeal small subunit ribosomal RNA
Source: RNAcentral